This 523-nucleotide ribosomal RNA is filed under the name uncultured Caldilinea sp. RNAcentral's name for it is "bacterial SSU rRNA". It matches the Rfam family "Bacterial small subunit ribosomal RNA", at positions 505 to 1028 of the family's 1533-position model. Lineage: Bacteria; Bacillati; Chloroflexota; Caldilineae; Caldilineales; Caldilineaceae. The record is from RNAcentral.
GUGCCAGCCGCUGCGGUAAUACGUAGGUGGCGAGCGUUAUCCGGAAUUACUGGGCGUAAAGCGCAAGCAGGCGGCGUAUUAAGUUUGACGUGAAAUCUCCCGGCUUAACCGGGAGAAGCCGUUGAAAACUGGUAUGCUUGAGGCGGUGAGAGGGGUGUGGAAUUCCCGGUGUAGUGGUGGAAUGCGUAGAUAUCGGGAGGAACACCAGAGGCGAAAGCGACACCCUGGCACUUGCCUGACGCUGAGAUGCGAAAGCGUGGGGAGCAAACGGGAUUAGAUACCCCGGUAGUCCACGCCGUAAACGAUGAUACUGGGUGUAGGGGGGUUAGAGCCCUCUGUGCCGAAGCAAACGCGAUAAGUAUUCCGCCUGGGAGUACGGCCGCAAGGCUAAAACUCAAAGGAAUUGACGGGGCCCGCGACAAGCAAGCGGAGCGUGUGGUUUAAUUCGAUGCAACACGAAGAACUUACCUGGUUUGACAUGCAUGUAGUAGUGAAGCGAAAGUGGAACGACCCUUCGGGGAGC